GGUCAUUUAUAAAAAGUUGGGUUUUUUUCGAACUGCACAGGAAAUUAUUUUUUCCUCUUGUGCUUGUCUUAUUUAAAUCUUUCACUAUUAAAAAAAAUUAUGCACUUUUUUAGUCAUUUUUCUUUUAACUAUUUUUUCAACAAAAAAAACAAAAUAGGAAAAUGUGUCCAUAGGACACCACACCUGGCUGGGUCUUUUUCAUUUCCAGGUUCACAAACUUAAAAUCUGGAUAAUUA
This 236-nucleotide long non-coding RNA is filed under the name Mytilus galloprovincialis (Mediterranean mussel). Lineage: Eukaryota; Metazoa; Mollusca; Bivalvia; Mytilida; Mytilidae. The record is from RNAcentral.